UACGAAGGGGGCUAGCGUUGUUCGGAUUUACUGGGCGUAAAGCGCACGUAGGCGGAUCGUUAAGUCGGGGGUGAAAUCCUGGAGCUCAACUCCAGAACUGCCUUCGAUACUGGCGAUCUUGAGUCCGGAAGAGGUGAGUGGAACUCCUAGUGUAGAGGUGGAAUUCGUAGAUAUUAGGAAGAACACCAGUGGCGAAGGCGGCUUACUGGUCCGGAACUGACGCUGAGGUGCGAAAGCGUGGGGAGCAAACAGG
RNAcentral lists this ribosomal RNA (253 nucleotides) under uncultured bacterium. RNAcentral describes it as "partial 16S ribosomal RNA". It matches the Rfam family "Bacterial small subunit ribosomal RNA", at positions 524 to 776 of the family's 1533-position model. The record is from RNAcentral.